RNAcentral lists this ribosomal RNA (230 nucleotides) under uncultured bacterium. Its description in RNAcentral is "partial 16S ribosomal RNA". It matches the Rfam family "Bacterial small subunit ribosomal RNA", at positions 562 to 791 of the family's 1533-position model. The record is from RNAcentral.
AAAGCGUGCGCAGGCGGUUAUGCAAGACAGAUGUGAAAUCCCCGGGCUCAACCUGGGAACUGCAUUUGUGACUGCAUGGCUAGAGUACGGUAGAGGGGGAUGGAAUUCCGCGUGUAGCAGUGAAAUGCGUAGAUAUGCGGAGGAACACCGAUGGCGAAGGCAAUCCCCUGGACCUGUACUGACGCUCAUGCACGAAAGCGUGGGGAGCAAACAGGAUUAGAUACCCCGGU